This 253-nucleotide ribosomal RNA is filed under the name uncultured prokaryote. RNAcentral's name for it is "partial 16S ribosomal RNA". It matches the Rfam family "Bacterial small subunit ribosomal RNA", at positions 525 to 777 of the family's 1533-position model. The record is from RNAcentral.
ACAGAGGUCUCGAGCGUUAGGCGGAAUCACUGGGCUUAAAGCGUGUGUAGGCGGAUGCCUAAGUACCUUGUGAAAUCCCACGGCUCAACCGUGGAGGGUCAUUGGAAACUGGAGGACUUGAGUACAGAAGAGGAAAGCGGAAUUCCACGUGUAGCGGUGAAAUGCGUAGAGAUGUGGAGGAACACCAGUGGCGUAGGCGGCUUUCUGGUCUGUAACUGACGCUGAGGCGCGAAAGCGUGGGGAGCAAACAGGA